Molecule: ribosomal RNA, 1093 nt
Filed under: Staphylococcus sp. HMSC035D11
Lineage: Bacteria; Bacillati; Bacillota; Bacilli; Caryophanales; Staphylococcaceae
Description: bacterial LSU rRNA
Rfam family: Bacterial large subunit ribosomal RNA
Source: RNAcentral
CCUGUAGUUGAAAAUAUAUUCUCUCUUGAGUGGAUCCUGAGUACGACGGAGCACGUGAAAUUCCGUCGGAAUCUGGGAGGACCAUCUCCUAAGGCUAAAUACUCUCUAGUGACCGAUAGUGAACCAGUACCGUGAGGGAAAGGUGAAAAGUACCCCGGAAGGGGAGUGAAAGAGAACUUGAAACCGUGUGCUUACAAGUAGUCAGAGCCCGUUAAUGGGUGAUGGCGUGCCUUUUGUAGAAUGAACCGGCGAGUUACGAUCUGAUGCAAGGUUAAGCAGAAAAUGUGGAGCCGUAGCGAAAGCGAGUCUGAAUAGGGCGUAUAGUAUUUGGUCGUAGACCCGAAACCAGGUGAUCUACCCAUGGUCAGGUUGAAGUUCAGGUAACACUGAAUGGAGGACCGAACCGACUUACGUUGAAAAGUGAGCGGAUGAACUGUGGGUAGCGGAGAAAUUCCAAUCGAACUUGGAGAUAGCUGGUUCUCUCCGAAAUAGCUUUAGGGCUAGCCUCAAGUGAUGAUUAUUGGAGGUAGAGCACUGUUUGGACGAGGGGCCCCUCUCGGGUUACCGAAUUCAGACAAACUCCGAAUGCCAAUUAAUUUAACUUGGGAGUCAGAACAUGGGUGAUAAGGUCCGUGUUCGAAAGGGAAACAGCCCAGACCACCAGCUAAGGUCCCAAAAUAUAUGUUAAGUGGAAAAGGAUGUGGCGUUGCCCAGACAACUAGGAUGUUGGCUUAGAAGCAGCCAUCAUUUAAAGAGUGCGUAAUAGCUCACUAGUCGAGUGACACUGCGCCGAAAAUGUACCGGGGCUAAACAUAUUACCGAAGCUGUGGAUUGUCCUUUGGACAAUGGUAGGAGAGCGUUCUAAGGGCGUUGAAGCAUGAUCGCAAGGACAUGUGGAGCGCUUAGAAGUGAGAAUGCCGGUGUGAGUAGCGAAAGACGGGUGAGAAUCCCGUCCACCGAUUGACUAAGGUUUCCAGAGGAAGGCUCGUCCGCUCUGGGUUAGUCGGGUCCUAAGCUGAGGCCGACAGGCGUAGGCGAUGGAUAACAGGUUGAUAUUCCUGUACCACCUAUAAUCGUUUUAAUCGAUGGGGGG